AUGAUGUCACUGAAGCCCUCUGCAUCCGCCGCCGCCGAAGGCUGCAGGAUUGCCUCAACCCCUCGCUCCGCGCUGACGGCGAGGUCAACACCAUUGCAAGUAAUUAAUAUUUUGGGAAACUUCGUUAGAAUUUGGUCUGUGUAUUCGUUGUAUAGCCACUUGUCCAGUACUGGGGAUUCAAUAGUUGGCUUUAUCUUCAGUUGCCUUGUACCAGCUUCUGUCAUCUUCUUAAUCUUACAGAAGCCUUGGAAAGGUCGGCCUUUGCCCAACUCACAGAUUGUUCCUACAGUUGUCAAUGGCGGAGUUCUGGCAUUAUACUUCGUGUUGUGGGCUAAAGGACUCCUUGCUUGCAGACCACUAGUUGCUCUGCUGGCAGAGUACGCAGGUGCACUUCUUGGAGUUCUCUCUGCUGCUUUAUAUGGAAGGAAAGUUAAUAUAUGGAAAAAGAUUGGAGGACUCGCUGCUAUGCUGCUAGCAUACUAUCUGUUAUCAAAUGGUUGGGCUACAAGAACAAAUUCACCACUAUAUAGCUUUGGAAGUGAACCACUGGAGAAGGCUACAGAAACUACCGGGAUGAAGGAAAUGGUUCUGCCAAUUAGUGCUGGAAUUUUAUCAGCUUUGAGGAGAGUAUUGGCUCGGCGAGUCUCUCUCAAGAAUCUACUCAAAAGGCGACUUCAUGCGAUAACUGUUGCUUCUGCUACAUGUUUUCUUUUUCCAUUUGCAAUGUGGGAUACAAUUCUAGGUUCAACAUCUGACAGCAUAGUUAAAAUGCAACUACCAAGCUGGGCAUAUUUGAGUACUGUUUUGUUCGGAAUGGUGCUUAUAUUCUAUGUUGAUAAUGUUGCUGAGGAAAGCUUGCAUCUGGUCUUUUCUUCUCCAAGGCACUUAGUGGUUUCAACAGGUUGCAUCAUUAUUUUGGAGAUAUUAUACAAAAUGGAUUUCUCCCUUCCUGGUUUGCUGCUUUGUUCUGUGAUUUUGGGAUUUGGUAUUUUGGAAGCAACCUCCUUGGACCGAUCCAAAAAAAGGCCAUUGGAGGCACAUGAACCGUCAAAUGGAUCACUUCACAAUCAGUUGCGGAUUUCAGAACUUCCAAUGUAG
Molecule: ribosomal RNA, 1098 nt
Filed under: Triticum aestivum (bread wheat)
Lineage: Eukaryota; Viridiplantae; Streptophyta; Magnoliopsida; Poales; Poaceae
Description: partial small subunit ribosomal RNA
Source: RNAcentral